CCCACAACCUAAAUUCAACAAACAACAUUAAUAAACCCACACUCCGAACCCGCUAAACAGCCAAACCAUUUUACCACCCUAGUAUAGGCGAUAGAAAAGGACACCCCGCGCAAUAGAAAAAGUACCGCAAGGGAAAGCUGAAAGAGAAAUGAAACAACCCAGUAAAGAGAAGAGAAGCAGAGACAAUCACUC
Molecule: ribosomal RNA, 192 nt
Filed under: Rhinogobius brunneus (Amur goby)
Lineage: Eukaryota; Metazoa; Chordata; Actinopteri; Gobiiformes; Gobiidae
Description: partial large subunit ribosomal RNA
Source: RNAcentral